UACGGGGGGGGGCAAGCGUUGUUCGGAAUUACUGGGCGUAAAGGGCUCGUAGGCGGCCAACUAAGUCAGACGUGAAAUCCCUCAGCUUAACUGGGGAACUGCGUCUGAUACUGGAUGGCUUGGAUUCGGGAGAGGAAUGCGGAAUUCCAGGUGUAGCGGUGAAAUGCGUAGAUAUCUGGAGGAACACCGGUGGCGAAGGCGGGUCUCUGGGCAGUAACUGACGCUGAGGAGCGAAAGCGUGGGGAGCGAACAGG
RNAcentral lists this ribosomal RNA (254 nucleotides) under uncultured bacterium. RNAcentral describes it as "partial 16S ribosomal RNA". It matches the Rfam family "Bacterial small subunit ribosomal RNA", at positions 524 to 776 of the family's 1533-position model. The record is from RNAcentral.